RNAcentral lists this long non-coding RNA (2285 nucleotides) under Nicotiana tabacum (common tobacco). RNAcentral's name for it is "long non-coding RNA (NTAB_LNC012289)". The record is from RNAcentral. Lineage: Eukaryota; Viridiplantae; Streptophyta; Magnoliopsida; Solanales; Solanaceae.
AAAGCAGCAGGUACCAGUGGAUUAAACAAGGUAAACACAAUCUCUCCUAGAUACCACCAUUAUCAUUUGAAUAGAUUACUAUUAUCUCUAUUCAUCAAGUAAAUUACAAAUUGCAAGCAUAUCUUUGUUUUUAUUGGGAAUGAAUAACAAUAAUUACUAGUCGAAGCAAAAAACCAGCUUUAAGAUAAUGCCAGUGUUAGUCCAUCAUCCACCAAGUUACGAACCAUGCGCCAGCUAGCCCUCGGCAAUUUCUCAUUUACCCACAAGUUACGAACCAUGCGCCAGCUAGCCCUCGGCAAUUUCUCAUUUACCCAGGAAAAAAAAGUACCUCUCUUCUUACAAGAUUCAAUUUUGCAACAUUUGUGAAAGUUAUAUUGUUGUGAAUGGGGCCGAACAAACUAAGGCACUUGGGCCUGGGAAUAUUUUACACUGGGGUCAAAUGAUUAAACAACCCAAAAUAAGGUCUUUGGUUUACCAUUAGGACCCGGGUUGAGGUACACGUGUCGAAGAGUUACUGGGGUAGAGGAAAUAUAGUUCUUAUAAUUAUCAGAUUGUGCAAGGAAGAAGGGAGGGUAUUGUGAAGAAAAGUGUCUGCUUCUCCUCGUUCCCCUUUCUCUGAGUCUAAGUUCUCAUCCCCUUCUUAUCUUUAUCCUUAGCUACUUCUACAUUCCAGUGUUUCUUAUUGUGUUUCAGUAGUUUGAAUGUUGCGUUGUUAUCCGAAUUUGUAAUUGAGUUCUAGUUCAUAUUGAUAUAGUAAGGAAUUUGCCUAUUUGUUACAUUGGUGCUUUCAUCGAUCGUACUCCAAUGGACGAGGUGAUACUAGAUAAAUUCAGGAGCGGCGACGCAACGGGAUGGAUUUGUCGAGCCGAGCGAUACCUCCACUUCCUUGGCUUCUCCGAGGAGCAUUGGCUACCUCUCCCUUACUUCUACGUUGAAGGAGUUGCCCUCGUUUGGUUCGACUGGCUAUAUCGAAACAAACAAUUUUAUGAUUGGAACCAUUUCAAGGAGAAGCUACAGUUGCAUUUUAGGGCACAGACCUUCACAAGUAUGGUGCAUAUGGCAGAGACCCAGGUAUGUUCCGUUCUUGCUAUGAGCACUGUUCCCAUCUCAUAUGCAUUUGCAUCUGAUUUGGAUGCUGGACACUACGAGGCGGACCAAAUGUUCGACGAAAAUCGAUAAGGAGAAUGGCCUCACUCACAAACUGAUUUGUCUAGCGAUGCCAAGGAAUUAUUAAAUGAAUGUGUUCGUCAAGGCGAGGAUGGUGAAUUUAAAGUGCCGACAACAUCAAUCAUUGCAGAAUCAUUGUUCAACACUAGGAACGAUCCUAAGACCUGUGAUGCGCACUCGAAUGCACACUUCAUUUCCCCACCGAUUGUAGUUGAUUUAGUCGUUGAUCAAUCAGUGGGGCUGCCUUUCCAGGUAACUCAGAUGCUUGGGGGAACUACUCGAUGGGCCGAAAUUGACUUUUUGGAUACUAUACAACCAACGGAAUCCGCUGACAAGGAAGGUGAAUGGCUCGAGAAUAUUGCGAACAUAAUGUUAGAUAAAAGUCUCGAGCUAAAUGAGACCAAGCUGCAAUGCCAAUUUGCAAAUGUGGAGCUUAUUGAGACCGCGAAAUAUGUUUCCACUGAGAUUUUAUCUGCUCACUUUGAUGAACGAGCAGGGAUCAGCCUGCUUCUUAAAGCCAUCACUACUCUUGAUGCUGGCUUUGAGAGUAUUGUCCAAGAUGCUUUAGUAAAGUGUGACCCUCUCCAUUCAAAGCUCCUAGCUUGCUGCCUUAUGAUUUGUGGGGACAUAGUGCCAACGGAUGUCAACAUUACAGUGGCAACUAUCUCAGGUCACGUUCACAAAAUUGUGAAAGAUCCAGUCUUCUUAUUCUAUUUCCCAACACACCUUUGUAUAAAGACAGUUGGCAGAGUGUGCGCUAUUAACACUGUUCUUAACCCGAACCUUGAGGACAAGGUCUUAUUCAGGGCGGGGGUAUUGUUGUGAAUGGGGCCGAACAAACUAAGGCACUUGGGCUUGGGAAUAUUUUACACUGGGGUCAAAUGAUUAAACAACCCAAAAUAAGGUCUUUGGUUUACCAUUGGGACCCGGGUUGAGGUACACGUGUCGAAGAGUUACUGGGCUAGAGGAAAUAUAGUUCUUAUAAUUAUCAGAUUGUACAAGGAAGAAGGGAGGGUAUUGUGAAGAAAAGUGUCUGCCUCUCCUCGUUCCCCUUUCUCUAAGUCUAAGUUCUCAUCCCCUUUUUAUCUUUAUCCUUAGGUACUUCUACAUUCCAGUGU